This 73-nucleotide transfer RNA is filed under the name Camelus ferus (Wild Bactrian camel). It matches the Rfam family "tRNA". From Rfam's summary of the family: Transfer RNA (tRNA) molecules are approximately 80 nucleotides in length. Their secondary structure includes four short double-helical elements and three loops (D, anti-codon, and T loops). The record is from Rfam by way of RNAcentral. Lineage: Eukaryota; Metazoa; Chordata; Mammalia; Artiodactyla; Camelidae.
GAGAGUAUAGCUCAAGUGGUAGAGCCCAUGCUUCACAAGCAUGAGGUCCUGGGUUCAAGCCCAAGUACCUCCA